Oxyura jamaicensis (ruddy duck) is the source of this 1086-nucleotide long non-coding RNA. RefSeq lists it as uncharacterized. Lineage: Eukaryota; Metazoa; Chordata; Aves; Anseriformes; Anatidae. The record is from RefSeq and is a predicted model, not a curated record. The transcript has 2 exons.
CUUGUGUGCUCUAUUCCGUAUAGAACGUAUACCAUGCAAGUGAUGUUUGUGGCAUGACACCAGCCCCGAGUAAUUUAUCUCUAGCAACUCACUGCAUCAGGCUGUUAAGUCAGUAAGCACUUCCACAAUUAGUACGUGUGAUCAUCACCCCUGACAUGAGGUUCAACUUUGCUCUGCGUACCCGCGGUCCUUGGCUGGGAGUUGUUGUUUUAAGCUUUUAUAGAAAGAAAAGGCAGUACCUAUAAGUGAUACAGAUGUUUGUGUGGUUGCCUGGGCAUAAUGUUUUGCACCGUUUCUGUAUGAUCUUGAUUCUCUUACAUUAAUCUAAACCUAAUCACGGAAGCAGCUACGAAUUGAUGGCCAUUCCUGCUGAAGCUCUUUUUUUCCCUGAAGAAAAAGAAAACAAGCAAGCAGAGAACCUUCAAAGAAACCAGCAUUUUCAAAGAGCAAGACAAAUGUCUGUGAUUAUGCCGAAGUCAGGAGAGCACAGGAGGAAAAUGCAGCCUUGCACCUCUGCUUAUGCCUUUGGUGGUGGAAAUCACUGCUUUGCUGCCCAGAGCUCCUGCCCAGAUUUAGGCAGUUUGUAGUACUAGCCUCUCUGAGGGCCAGCUUCCAUCACGAGGGAGAGAAAAGCAGCAACAGAGAGCAAUUCUCAGCCUGAAGCUGUGUCCCCGGUAGCUCUCGAGUCACUCCCUGGUGGGGCCACUUUCUUCCCACAGCAGCAACCAGCUCAGGCUUCGUCACUGCACUUUCAGACACCUCGAGUGAAAUUAAAUCACCUCCACCAAUGUGCCCGGGUGCUGUACUUCCCCAGCAAGGAAAGGCAGCAUGAUGUUAGCGUGUUAAUUUUGGCAGAGCACUCUGACGUCCUUGGAGGAAAGGAUCUAUUCUGUGCCUAUUCUGUCUUCUUGCUAAGAACUAUUUUCCGUACAGGAUCCUCCAGCAGCUUCAUGGCAGGAUUUCACUGGUUCCAUCUCCAUGUUCACUUUUCAACAGUCACAAGCCACUGCAAAUAAAUGGCUCCAGACCUUGGCAGUUGUGUAGGAAAUAACCCCCCAUUUUACAAAUCCUUAAAAGCAAGGAAAA